GAUGAACGCUGGCGGCGUGCUUAACACAUGCAAGUCGAGCGGAGUAACCCGACAGAAAUUUUCGAAUGGAUGUCGGACUUACUUAGCGGCGGACGGGUGAGUAACGCGUGGGCAACCUGCCCUGUACAGAGGAAUAACAUUGGGAAACCAGUGCUAAUACCUCAUGACUCCUCCGGGUGGCAUCACCUGGAGGAGAAAGAUUUAUCGGUACAGGAUGGGCCCGCGUCUGAUUAGUUAGUUGGUGAGGUAAGGGCUCACCAAGACGAUGAUCAGUAGCCGACCUGAGAGGGUGAUCGGCCACACUGGAACUGAGACACGGUCCAGACUCCUACGGGAGGCAGCAGUGGGGAAUAUUGCACAAUGGGGGAAACCCUGAUGCAGCAACGCCGCGUGAGCGAUGAAGGCCUUCGGGUCGUAAAGCUCUGUCCUAAGGGAAGAUAGUGACGGUACCUUAGGAGGAAGCCCCGGCUAACUACGUGCCAGCAGCCGCGGUAAUACGUAGGGGGCAAGCGUUAUCCGGAAUUACUGGGCGUAAAGGGUGCGUAGGCGGUCAAAUAAGUCAGGGGUGAAAGACUAUCGCUCAACGAUAGCAAGCCUUUGAAACUAUUUGACUUGAGUGCAGGAGAGGAGAGUGGAAUUUCUAGUGUAGCGGUGAAAUGCGUAGAUAUUAGAAGGAACACCAGUGGCGAAGGCGACUCUCUGGACUGCAACUGACGCUGAGGCACGAAAGCGUGGGGAGCAAACAGGAUUAGAUACCCUGGUAGUCCACGCCGUAAACGAUGAGUGCUAGGUGUCGGGGGUCAAACCUCGGUGCCGGAGCUAACGCAAUAAGCACUCCGCCUGGGGAGUACGCUCGCAAGAGUAAAACUCAAAGGAAUUGACGGGGACCCGCACAAGCAGCGGAGCAUGUGGUUUAAUUCGAAGCAACGCGAGACCUUACCUAAACUUGACAUCCUUCUGAAAGAGCCUUAAUCGGGUUCCCUCCUUCGGGACAGA
Molecule: ribosomal RNA, 996 nt
Filed under: Clostridiales bacterium enrichment culture clone EC8-10-3_E8
Lineage: Bacteria; Bacillati; Bacillota; Clostridia; Eubacteriales
Description: bacterial SSU rRNA
Rfam family: Bacterial small subunit ribosomal RNA
Source: RNAcentral